Molecule: ribosomal RNA, 492 nt
Filed under: uncultured bacterium
Lineage: Bacteria
Description: partial 16S ribosomal RNA
Rfam family: Bacterial small subunit ribosomal RNA
Source: RNAcentral
AGUGAACGCUGGCGGUAGGCCUAACACAUGCAAGUCGAACGGCAGCACAGUAAGAGCUUGCUCUUACGGGUGGCGAGUGGCGGACGGGUGAGGAAUACAUCGGAAUCUACUUUUUCGUGGGGGAUAACGUAGGGAAACUUACGCUAAUACCGCAUACGACCUACGGGUGAAAGCAGGGGAUCUUCGGACCUUGCGCGAUUGAAUGAGCCGAUGUUGGAUUAGCUAGUUGGCGGGGUAGAGGCCCACCAAGGCGACGAUCCGUAGGUGGUCUGAGAGGAUGGUUAGAUAGCCUGGAACUGAGGAAGGGCCCAGACUCCUACGGGAGGACGCAGUGGGGAAUAUUGGACGAUGGGCGCAAGCCUGAUCCAGGCAUACCGCGUGGGUGAUGAUGGACUUCGGGUUGUAAAGCCAUUUUGUUGGGAAAGAAAAGCAGCAGGUUAAUACCCCGCUGUUCUGACGGUACCCAAAGAAUAAGCACCGGCUAACUUCGUG